Oreochromis aureus is the source of this 427-nucleotide long non-coding RNA. RefSeq lists it as uncharacterized. The record is from RefSeq and is a predicted model, not a curated record. The transcript has 3 exons. Lineage: Eukaryota; Metazoa; Chordata; Actinopteri; Cichliformes; Cichlidae.
AUCAAGGCCACUUUGCUCUCCUUGUGGGCUCCGUAGGCUCCCAACACGGUAAUCAUCACCGUGAUGCAGCCCACAAUGAAGAGAAUGAAGAGUUUGGUGGUGCGACCCUCCAGCUGUGGACAGAAGUGUAAUGAAAAGAACUGGCACCACAGAGCGAGGACGAUGGCCACUCCACCAACAACCUGAACAAACACAGUCUGGUUAGAGCUGCUGGAUCCUUUAAACACAACCAGGACAUGAAAUGACUGCACAGCCACACAUGUGGACGAGCGCAACAACAAACUCUGAAAAAUAUGUUGAAGACGGUGAAGAUGCGUUUGAGGCAGAUGUUGAUCUGAGCCAUGUUUGCAGCUGGAAAAUGCAGUCAAAAUAACAGUACUGUUCCCAAAGUCCAGACGAGCUCCGACUGCAGCGAAGUGAAGUGAGA